CGGGACGGGUGAGUAAUGUCUGGGAAACUGCCUGAUGGAGGGGGAUAAUACUGGAAACGGUAGCUAAUACCGCAUAACGUCGCAAGACCAAAGAGGGGGACCUUCGGGCCUCUUGCCAUCGGAUGUGCCCAGAUGGGAUUAGCUAGUAGGUGGGGUAACGGCUCACCUAGGCGACGAUCCCUAGCUGGUCUGAGAGGAUGACCAGCCACACUGGAACUGAGACACGGUCCAG
Molecule: ribosomal RNA, 232 nt
Filed under: uncultured bacterium
Lineage: Bacteria
Description: partial 16S ribosomal RNA
Rfam family: Bacterial small subunit ribosomal RNA
Source: RNAcentral